AAAAUCUGUCAAACGAAAACACAGUUUUUGCUGAAAACCCUUUGAAAACUUACAUUCCACUCAUUAUAAUCGGCGCUUUGGCUUUUAGAGAGGUGAGUUCUUCUUUUUAUAAAUAUGUUGUAAAACUAAUUAUAUUUAUAUUGUAAGAAUAAUUUGUUUAACUUUAUACAUCGAAAAACGCGACACAAAACCGAUCAGUAAGGUACGCAUUGUGGUAUGCGUUUUGUUUUUAUAACCAAAACUUUUAGUGUUACAGAAAACUUGCAGCAUUGCGGAAAAAUUGCAUUCCUAGAAUAAAACAAAUUCAGAUAGAUAAAAAUGCAAUUUAAACAUAAUUAUGCUGGAGGUUCAAGACGACACAUGGAUUUUGAUUGGUAUUGGUAUACCAUCGUUUGUUGGAGAGAUUUUGCCUCAUUUUUACUCAUAAUUUGUAAACGUUACAAAGAACGAUUUGUGGAGCAUCGACAGAUUCUAUUGCAAGAUUUUGUAUAUUGGGCUUGUCGUCAUCCGGUACUGUGACAAUGCGAAGUGUGGCAUCAUUUUU
Molecule: non-coding RNA, 544 nt
Organism: Bactrocera oleae (olive fruit fly)
Lineage: Eukaryota; Metazoa; Arthropoda; Insecta; Diptera; Tephritidae
Source: RefSeq, a predicted model, not a curated record